GUUUCCGUAGGUGACCUGCGGAAGGAUCAUUGUCGA
Molecule: ribosomal RNA, 36 nt
Filed under: Erica tetralix
Lineage: Eukaryota; Viridiplantae; Streptophyta; Magnoliopsida; Ericales; Ericaceae
Also listed under: 1 other name
Description: partial 18S ribosomal RNA
Source: RNAcentral